AUUGAACGCUAGCGGGAUGCUUUACACAUGCAAGUCGAACGGCAGCGCGGACUUCGGUCUGGCGGCGAGUGGCGAACGGGUGAGUAAUGUAUCGGAACGUGCCCAGUAGCGGGGGAUAACUACGCGAAAGCGUAGCUAAUACCGCAUACGCCCUACGGGGGAAAGCAGGGGAUCGUAAGACCUCGCACUAUUGGAGCGGCCGAUAUCGGAUUAGCUAGUUGGUGAGGUAACGGCUCACCAAGGCGACGAUCCGUAGCUGGUUUGAGAGGACGACCAGCCACACUGGGACUGAGACACGGCCCAGACUCCUACGGGAGGCAGCAGUGGGGAAUUUUGGACAAUGGGGGCAACCCUGAUCCAGCCAUCCCGCGUGUGCGAUGAAGGCCUUCGGGUUGUAAAGCACUUUUGGCAGGAAAGAAACGUCGCGGGCUAAUACCCCGUGGAACUGACGGUACCUGCAGAAUAAGCACCGGCUAACUACGUG
RNAcentral lists this ribosomal RNA (484 nucleotides) under uncultured bacterium. RNAcentral's name for it is "partial 16S ribosomal RNA". It matches the Rfam family "Bacterial small subunit ribosomal RNA", at positions 30 to 507 of the family's 1533-position model. The record is from RNAcentral.